Molecule: ribosomal RNA, 302 nt
Filed under: uncultured bacterium
Lineage: Bacteria
Description: partial 16S ribosomal RNA
Rfam family: Bacterial small subunit ribosomal RNA
Source: RNAcentral
GCAGUAGCCGCGGUAAUACGUAGGUGGCAAGCGUUGUCCGGAAUUAUUGGGCGUAAAGGGCUCGCAGGCGGUUUCUUAAGUCUGAUGUGAAAGCCCCCGGCUCAACCGGGGAGGGUCAUUGGAAACUGGGAAACUUGAGCGCAGAAGAGGAGAGUGGAAUUCCACGUGUAGCGGUGAAAUGCGUAGAGAUGUGGAGGAACACCAGUGGCGAAGGCGACUCUCUGGUCUGUAACUGACGCUGAGGAGCGAAAGCGUGGGGAGCGAACAGGAUUAGAUACCCCAGUAGUCCCUGUCUCUUAUAU